CGGGACACGUGGUAUCCUGUCUGAAUAUGGGGGGACCAUCCUCCAAGGCUAAAUACUCCUGACUGACCGAUAGUGAACCAGUACCGUGAGGGAAAGGCGAAAAGAACCCCGGCGAGGGGAGUGAAAAAGAACCUGAAACCGUGUACGUACAAGCAGUGGGAGCCUCUUAAUGGGGUGACUGCGUACCUUUUGUAUAAUGGGUCAGCGACUUAUAUUCUGUAGCAAGGUUAACCGAAUAGGGGAGCCGAAGGGAAACCGAGUCUUAACUGGGCGUUAAGUUGCAGGGUAUAGACCCGAAACCCGGUGAUCUAGCCAUGGGCAGGUUGAAGGUUGGGUAACACUAACUGGAGGACCGAACCGACUAAUGUUGAAAAAUUAGCGGAUGACUUGUGGCUGGGGGUGAAAGGCCAAUCAAACCGGGAGAUAGCUGGUUCUCCCCGAAAGCUAUUUAGGUAGCGCCUCGUGAAUUCAUCUCCGGGGGUAGAGCACUGUUUCGGCAAGGGGGUCAUCCCGACUUACCAACCCGAUGCAAACUGCGAAUACCGGAGAAUGUUAUCACGGGAGACACACGGCGGGUGCUAACGUCCGUCGUGAAGAGGGAAACAACCCAGACCGCCAGCUAAGGUCCCAAAGUCAUGGUUAAGUGGGAAACGAUGUGGGAAGGCCCAGACAGCCAGGAUGUUGGCUUAGAAGCAGCCAUCAUUUAAAGAAAGCGUAAUAGCUCACUGGUCGAGUCGGCCUGCGCGGAAGAUGUAACGGGGCUAAACCAUGCACCGAAGCUGCGGCAGCGACGCUUAUGCGUUGUUGGGUAGGGGAGCGUUCUGUAAGCCUGUGAAGGUGUACUGUGAGGUAUGCUGGAGGUAUCAGAAGUGCGAAUGCUGACAUAAGUAACGAUAAAGCGGGUGAAAAGCCCGCUCGCCGGAAGACCAAGGGUUCCUGUCCAACGUUAAUCGGGGCAGGGUGAGUCGACCCCUAAGGCGAGGCCGAAAGGCGUAGUCGAUGGGAAACAGGUUAAUAUUCCUGUACUUGGUGUUACUGCGAAGGGGGGACGGAGAAGGCUAUGUUGGCCGGGCGACGGUUGUCCCGGUUUAAGCGUGUAGGCUGGUUUUCCAGGCAAAUCCGGAAAAUCAAGGCUGAGGCGUGAUGACGAGGCACUACGGUGCUGAAGCAACAAAUGCCCUGCUUCCAGGAAAAGCCUCUAAGCAUCAGGUAACAUCAAAUCGUACCCCAAACCGACACAGGUGGUCAGGUAGAGAAUACCAAGGCGCUUGAGAGAACUCGGGUGAAGGAACUAGGCAAAAUGGUGCCGUAACUUCGGGAGAAGG
This 1325-nucleotide ribosomal RNA is filed under the name Escherichia coli. RNAcentral's name for it is "partial 23S ribosomal RNA". It matches the Rfam family "Bacterial large subunit ribosomal RNA", at positions 418 to 1746 of the family's 2925-position model. Lineage: Bacteria; Pseudomonadati; Pseudomonadota; Gammaproteobacteria; Enterobacterales; Enterobacteriaceae. The record is from RNAcentral.